Molecule: unclassified non-coding RNA, 734 nt
Filed under: Hevea brasiliensis (rubber tree)
Lineage: Eukaryota; Viridiplantae; Streptophyta; Magnoliopsida; Malpighiales; Euphorbiaceae
Source: RNAcentral
CAACAACAUGUUGAGCCAAGGGUGAGGAGAGUGGCUUUGAACCGUGGUGCUGAAUAUCUGGAGCGGUACUUUCGUUUAAUUGCUUUUGCAGCCUAUCUUGGAAGUGAAGCAUUUGAUGGAUUUUGUGGUGAAGGAGAAUUGAGGAUGACAUUUAAGAGUUGGUUGCAUCAAAGACCUGAGGUCCAAGCGAUAAAAUGGAGCAUAAGACUAAGGCCUGGGCGGUUUUUCACUAUCCCUGAGGAGUUGAGAGCACCCCAGGAAUCCCAACAUGGAGAUGCAGUAAUGGAGGCCACUAUCAAGGCCCGUAAUGGUUCAGUUUUAGGAACAGGCUCUAUACUUAAAAUGUAUUUCUUUCCUGGUCAGAGGACUUCCAGUCACAUACAAAUUCAUGGAGCACCACAUGUUUACAAGGUGGAUGGAUACCCUGUGUAUAGCAUGGCAACUCCAACAAUUGCUGGUGCUAAAGAGAUGCUAGCAUAUUUGGGUGCCAGGCCCAAGUUAGAAGAAUCAUAUUCUCAUAAAGUGAUAUUGACCGAUCUUAGAGAAGAAGCAAUUGUUUACAUUAAUAGCACGCCAUUUGUCCUUAGGGAGUUGCAUAAACCUGUUGAUACACUCAAGCAUGUUGGAAUUACUGGUCCUGUGGUGGAACAUAUGGAGGCACGACUAAAAGAAGAUAUAGUAUCUGAGGUGAGACAAUCUGGAGGUAGAAUGCUUUUACAUCGUGAAGAAUAUAA